Molecule: unclassified non-coding RNA, 373 nt
Filed under: soil metagenome
Description: partial contains 5.8S ribosomal RNA, internal transcribed spacer 2, and large subunit ribosomal RNA
Rfam family: 5.8S ribosomal RNA (bases 1-121)
Source: RNAcentral
GAUGAAGAACGUAGCGAAAUGCGAUAAGUAAUGCGAAUUGCAGAAUUCCAGUGAGUCAUCGAAUCUUUGAACGCACAUUGCGCCCUUUGGUAUUCCGAAGGGCAUGCCUGUUCGAGCGUCAUUAUCACCCCUUAAGCCCUCGGCUUGGUGUUGGACGGUUUGGUGGAGGCCCCCUCGGGGGUUCCUGCCCCUCCCAAAGACAAUGACGGCGGCCUCGUUGGACCCCCGGUACACUGAGUUCUUCACGGGACACGUAUCGGACACAUGGGUUUACGGGACACGGUCUGCCUCCCCUCAGGGAGAAUCUUUCUAAGGUUGACCUCGGAUCAGGUAGGGAUACCCGCUGAACUUAAGCAUAUCAAUAAGCGGAGGA